Molecule: ribosomal RNA, 467 nt
Filed under: uncultured bacterium
Lineage: Bacteria
Description: partial 16S ribosomal RNA
Rfam family: Bacterial small subunit ribosomal RNA (bases 57-467)
Source: RNAcentral
GGGGGGGGGGGGGGGGGGGGGGGGGGGGGGGGGGGGGGGGGGGGGGGGCUGCGUGGGUGGGGUGCGCGCGUGGCGAGCGGGGGAGUGCGGCGGGGGUAGGGGGCGGUUGGGUGGGGGAUGAGUGGGGAGUACUGGGGCUCAUGGCGGAUAGGCUCUGGAGCGGCGUGUUGUGGGUUGGCACGGUUCGGCGGUUGGGGGUGGACUCGCGGCUUAUGAGUUUGUUGGUGGGGUAGUGGCGUACCAAGGCUUUGACGGGUGGCCGGCCUGAGAGGGGGACCGGCCACAUUGGGAAUGAGAUACGGCCCAGACUCCUACGGGAGGCAGCAGUGGGGAAUAGUGCACAAUGGGCGGAAGCCUGAUGCAGCAACGCCGCGUGCGGGAUGACGGCCUUCGGGUUGUAAACCGCUUUCGCCUGUGACGAAGCGUGAGUGACGGUAAUGGGUAAAGAAGCACCGGCUAACUACGUG